This is a long non-coding RNA of Homo sapiens (human), 1532 nucleotides long. Ensembl annotates it as long intergenic non-protein coding RNA 1511. The record is from Ensembl. Lineage: Eukaryota; Metazoa; Chordata; Mammalia; Primates; Hominidae.
GAGACUGUAAAUCCACUGGGAGGGGCAAAGAACUCUGGACGUGCUGCAUUUUUAGGAGCUGUGACACUCACCGCGGAGGUUUGCAGUUUCACUCCUGAAAUCAGUGUAGACCACGAACGCACCAGAAGGAACAAACUCCAGACACACCGUUUUUAGGUAACCGUAACAUGUACCGCGAGGGUCUGCGGCUUCAUUCUUGAAGACGAGACUAAGAACCCACCAACUUCUGGACACAAAACCACCCCAAAAAGUGAGUUUCUAAAGGAGAAGCUAAAAAUAAAGACCACGAAAGUGUUGCCCAUGGUGAUAGCUCCAGACGUCCGGAGACGGUGUUCAGCGCUGCUGCAGGAGAGUGAACAGCAUGGAGCACUUGCUGCGUGUCUGGCCAUCUCAGGGACAGAUGUCACAUUUGUUGCUGUAGCUGGACUUUAUCUUCUAUUCCGUUGGUCUGCCUAUCUAGAAAGCAAAAUUUCAAAUACUGAGACCGAUAGAUGAAGAUGCUUUCGCUUCUUCCCUGUUUCAUCCAGUUGGGGACUAAGUGUCCUUCGGUUUGGACUGUGCAGCUCGGGUCACCUUCUCUGUGGAACAGCAAGUGAAGAAAGAGGCGCAGAGCCCUGUGUUCCAAACCCUGGAGACAAUUGAGAAAGUGGGAACCCAUUAUUCCCCAAGCCCAGCCAGCAAACCUCACCGAUGAAACAGAUAAGCACUUCCUGCAGGUGGGGCCGACACUGGCCAGGACACAGCCCUCUCUCUCACAGCAGUGUUCCAGGUUGUUUGUGCACAAAAUUUCACAAAGGUCAGAGCUCGUCUCUCCAAACCGAUGAGCUUUGCGGUUAACCUGAAUUCACUGAACUGGGAUUUAUUAUUAUUAUUCUAUUUUACCUCUAACAGAAGUUUAAGGUUCGUGUAAGUUUCGUUCCUCUCUGAUUGUAGGGGAGACGCCCAGAGCGCCAUUUGGAGGAGAGAACCUGGCAUCCUUUCCUUACCUUGAUUUCAGGUACCCAGCUCCUAGCAAAUGUGUCUUCCUCCCAGGGUUCUUUGGGGUAAAGAAUUUGGUGAGAAGGAGCUGAAUGUUAUGGCUGCGUUUCUCAGCCACUUGCUCGGAGCCAAGCAUCCUCUCACCCUUUCUUUCAACUGGUAGCCAGAAAAUACGGGUUGAGCAUCAGGGAUUCUCAACCGUGUCAAGCUCCAGCCCUGCCUGUUGUGACAGACGUUUCCUGAUGCCUGUUGCUCUCUGGAAUGAAGGUCAUGGGCAGUAUUACCCACACAGCCAUUCAAAAUCAGUCGGCUUCGUGACCUGUUGUGAAAGGAUGGCGAUUGCCGUGCCAGCACGUGACAUGGACUCGGAUGCCUGCGCACACAGGUGCACCUUCCAGAAGGUGAGGUCAGCCCGAGCGCCCACCGCCAUGUGAGUGCGCUGCUGCAGUGACCAGUUGCUGGAAUGUUCUGAACAGAGCCCAGUGCCACCCACUUUGAUGUGCGCUAUUGUUAGAUCUCCGGAAAAAUCAGAGUGCAUUAAAUUCCUGCAAAAA